Magnolia sinica is the source of this 1402-nucleotide long non-coding RNA. RefSeq lists it as uncharacterized. Lineage: Eukaryota; Viridiplantae; Streptophyta; Magnoliopsida; Magnoliales; Magnoliaceae. The record is from RefSeq and is a predicted model, not a curated record. The transcript is spliced from 3 exons.
UGCAAACUGGUUGCAUUCCGUAGUUUUCAUUCUAUCCAAACAGGCCCUUAACUUUUUGAAACAGACACUUUCGUGCUCUCACACCAGAAUCUCUUGCUGUUUGGCUUCAUGCUUUGUAAAACUAGAAGUCAUACUAGUCUACCAACACAAACUAGAGAAAUAAGAAUCACUUAUUGUCUCUCUGCAUAAAAUGUUUUGGAUUUUGUAAAAAAAAAAAAUUUAAUAGAAGGGAGAAUUGGUCUAGUGCUCUCAGAGCAUUAUAAUUAUAACACUCCUAGUUUUCGAAUGUCAUAAUUUUUAUCUAAUCCAUUGAUCAAGUUGUUGAUUGGACCUUUUGUGUGUAAAUGAUCUUGACUGUCUAUACUAAAGGACAUUAAUCAAAUGGUCAAUAUUUUUCAGAAUGGUGUGAUUUUUGCAUGUUAGCCCAUGAAAAAUGGGUUGGACCUGGUGAACAGUAUAGUAGAUCAAUGGAUUUGACUUGCUGAUUCAAGUAGGACCUCUAUAACUUAUAGUGCUCUGAUAGCACUGAAGAAUUUCUCAAGAAAAGGAAUGACACAAUCAUACCUCAUUCUAGCAUUAUCUUUCAGAGAUCCUUCUUGUUCAUCACAUAUUACAUUUCCCUAUAAAUUGAGUAGGCAGUCUGGUAGUUGCUGGGAGUCUUGGUACCUGAACAUAAAAGGUUGCGCUUUCAUAGCAUACAUCACUCAGAAAACUGCUCUACUUGAUUACAGAGUGUGACGGUAUUGGUGAACCCAACAUAGAACCACAGGUUUUGGAAUGGGUUGAUGAAGUAGCAAACUGUCCUUACUCUGAAGGCGUGGGCUAUACCAUCUGCAAUGUAUGUGAAGGUAAAGCGACAAUCCAGAAAAAACUGUAAACCAUACAAAACUGUAGAUCUACAUCUCUCUCAUUAUACAUGAUAUAUGCAUAUGAGAUGCUGAUAUUAUAGCAUUUUUCCUGUGGUUCCUCCAAAAGUGUUUUCUCUUUGGCACUUGCCAAUGUAGUUCUUUGGGUUGGGUUGCAGCCUUAGUAAUUUUUCUGCUUCCUAUUUCUUUCUUCAAUGCAUAAGAUGUAGGGGAACUGAUAAUAAAUGUGAGUCACAUUGUAGCUGAAAUUCGAUGUUUCUGUGUCUUUUGACUUGCAUGGUCCAAGUUUUAGUUGAUUCUGGACAUUCAUGGAAGAAGUAUGGGUCAAUAUAUGUCCACGAUGAACAUUUGAGUGUGAUUCAACCAGUUUCUUAACAGACUGCGAAUGGGACACUACGUAUUCUAUUGCAAUCAGUUGAAGCUAUAUGUAGAAUUUAUAUGUCAGAAUCCAUGGAAAUAGGGGAAUUGUUAGGGCAAAAUUGAAGUAUAACUUACCUCCCAAAUCAACGGUACUUGUGUAAUUUUUGCCUGCAUAU